UACCUACGCUAGCGCAUAGCUCGUACUCGCCUACCUCCCCGUCAACUACACCGUGACCAGGCUACCCCAUCCACCCAAGCCAGAGGCAAUUCAAAAUUCGAAUCCCAGUCGCAGCUGCAUUGACCGGCGGAACCAUGCCCUCCUCAUCGCCGCGCCUGGAUCUCGAUAUUUCUUCACAAAUCACCAAUGAAUCUCGGCGGGGAGUCAUUCACGGAUCUCUUGUUCAUGUUUCUCCUCUUUUUCUUUCCUUGUUUUCUACCGCAAAUCCUCAAAUCUUCAUCUUGCCAUGUCGAUGAACAGCUUCUGUUCCCAGUCGGUCGCAACCGUGGGCGUCCUAGAUCUGGCAUUGCCAGAGGGAGGGGAGGUGCGGUGAUGGAGGGAAAGAUUGUGAUAGCGAUUCUCCUUCCUCAAGUUCUGCAUCUCAAGUUCAAGAGGCAACGGAAGAUUUUUUCAAUGUCCCAGACAUUGACCAAACCGACAGUCACAGAGAGCAUCCAUCUGAAUCGCAACACACUCCAACUCUGUGGCCUCAAAGAGCCUGACUUGGCAAGAUACCCGACUGCUGCGCCUCAUUAUCAGGAAGGAAAAGUUCUUUGGAGAAGGUCAUGAGGAAUUUCACAUAUAAGAAGUCAGGUACCAUCCACAAGCCGGAAAUCAGCCAGGAAUUUGAUUCUUUGGACGAAGCUUACGACUUCUACAACCUAUACUCUUGGGAGACUGGGUUCGGCAUCAAGUAUGGGCAAUGCAGAAGAAACGUGGACAAGUGCAAGACGGUCCAGGACAUGGUUUUCGGAUGCCAAGUAGUGAAUAUAUUUGAUUCAAGACAUGUAAACUUGGCAGUGUUACAAGGACGUGUACAUUUUGCCAUUGUACUGAUGUGAGUACAAAGUGCAACUGAAAUUGUACAUGGGUUGUUCAUUUCUGACAAAGCGUCAUGUGUUUUGCUUUCUU
This is a long non-coding RNA of Triticum dicoccoides, 951 nucleotides long. RefSeq lists it as uncharacterized. NCBI's taxonomy places the organism in Eukaryota, Viridiplantae, Streptophyta, Magnoliopsida, Poales, Poaceae. The transcript has 2 exons. The record is from RefSeq and is a predicted model, not a curated record.